GUGAAGUCAAUGUCGGCACCAUGGUGACGGCUCACACUGUUUACAAUGCGCAGUUUCGCUUCGUCAGAAGCCGUUGAUGGGCUCCAUUUGCAUACACCUUUCGCCGACGUGUUUGGUCUUCGCACACUCUGAAUUAUAGAAAAAGCAAAAAUGAGUAUUUUCAAUGGAAGGAGAUGCUUAUGAAUGCACGGGCCUACUUCCCUGUUUCACAAACGAGCAACCUCGCUUUUGCACAAGGAUAAACUGCUGAGAAAGAAAAAAAAGGAAAACAUCACACGAGUCUAGUGACGAGCUGAAGUCUGGCAGGUGGGACAAAAAUCUGAGAGAAAGUACACUGUGGUGACUACAAAGAGAUGAGGAUUAAAGACAAAGAAGCAAAAUAUCUGGCAGCAGAAGAAGCACUACAAAUGUGGCCCCUGAGUUUGCAACCAGUAAUGCCUGGUGGGUGUGACCAGGACAGGUGGGGUUGAACUCGGCUGGACAGCGCUGUUAGUUAUUGGUGGAUUGGGAGGCCAUAUGAACUGCAGAUUUAAGUGCGUUACAACAUAAUAUACUUUUUCUCAAAGAGGAAUUAGAAAUAUUUCAUUAAUAGAAAUAUUUAUUGUUGUGCAAACACAACUGAGGCACACCAUUCUAUUAAUAACCUGGAUAUGGUCACUUUAUUUGGUGACAACACAUUUAAGCCCUCCAUCCUCAAACAACUGUCCUUCCUGCUUUAAAUUCCAAUUAUAAACAUUAAUCACACAUGUCUUUCAUUUUCAAUUAUGGGAGAUAAUCAUUUAAGAAUGUGGUGUUCUUAUACAUGCAUAUUCCAUUGCUAAUGUUAGAAUGCAGUGUCAAGAACAAUAUGUCAAUACUGCAUAAAUGAGACCAUAAUGCACAUAAUUCAAAUGUCUGUUUCAAUAAAUUUUCUAUUUUAAUACUAAAUUAUGUCCUCUGUAUAUGAAGUCUUCAUAUGAAAGUGGAAAAGUAUAGUAUUCCUUUUUGUGUUCCAAAUAUAAACAAAUUAACAUCUUGUCUUCCUAAAAUUCUGUGGAAUGUUCAUAUACAUGUGAAGUUUAUGCUAAAAUGAGAAAAGAGCAAACAUGACUGUGUACACCACCCUGGGGUCAUUUCUUACUCUCUGCUCUCAGGUCAGUGCUAUGGAUGGUACCUCUCUUUGCUAAACAGCUCUCCCCCUCCCUCUCUUUGUCUGUCCACACUGAGGCCAGCUGCUGCUAGCAUCCCUUUGUCAUUUUUUAUCCUGGACUGACUGGAUCGCCUGCAUGUAUAUAUCUCUCAUAUUCCCCUUCCCGCGCCCCCGUUAAUGAUUUACUCUGAAUCAGCAUUCAUGUGUCCGAACCCGUAAUUUCGCUACAGCCAGUCCUCCGAGGCCACGCAGCGCGCACGCUCAGGUCACCCGUGAUGAAUACCCGAGGACAAGCGGUCCCUUAGACCCAGGCCACACGGAAAGGGCCCGGCGCGUCUUAUUGGAAGCCCUUUGUGAAUAAUUAAUGGCAACGCCUGACUGGUGCAGGGAUUCUGAGGCUAACAGGCCGCCUUGUUGAUGACGUGAAUAUAUACCACGCGCACGGCGCUGAAGCAGCUCUUCCUGACCGGCGCUAGGGCUCUCACCAGCCGUCAUGUACGGGUGAUCCAAAGCUCCAUGUACAUAAUUAACACAGUAAUCCAGCAGGUGAGCUUAUCACUGCAAACCUCCAUGUUCCAUUUCAAAAUUAAUAGCUCUUCCUGUAUCAAGAAUUAUGUAUAAUUUACAUCCUAUUUUUGACAUGAGUGGAGAGGACUAAAUUAAGAUGAAAUGAUUUUUCCCUUUCCUGAGCAUUUUAUUAAUUAUUAUGAGGACUGGUCAAAUAAUGAACCAAUGGUGUAUCUAUUUUUACCUGAUUGUGUGUGAUAAAUGUUUCAAUUCUAUAUCCUGUCACAUUUAAAUCGAGUAUAGGUCUGAUAAAUCUCUAGCACGUGGGGCCAUCUUUGAAGAAGCUUAAAAGCCCUAUACCAUAUUUCUUAAAAAAAAAAAUCUAAAUAAGCCUUUAACAAAGCACAACACUUAUCUUAAAGAAGUUUAUAUAUAUAUAUACUGUCGCGAAUUUAAACGUAACCUAUCAUAUUCUUACAAAGAAAAAUAUUGUGUACGAUGUGCACAAAUGUUUCAGAUAACUCGUUCUAAAUAUGGCAGUUUUAACUGGAACUUUAUUUCUUUAAAAUGUUGAAUUUGCAUCAGAAUUUUUUUUUUUUUUUUUUAGGUUACUUUUUUACUACAGCGUUUUUGUUUGGCUUUUUGGGUAACCUAAGUUUAAAAUGUCUGUACGUUAAAGACUGGAUACUAAUAAUUUUAGUUAAAUUUCAAUAGCCAGUAAUGUAAACAGUUAUUAUAAGUCUUGUACACGGUAUAUAGGCCCAUUAAGAAAGGCUGGUCUGUAAGCACCAGAUUCUGACUAACUUUAGAAUUUAUAAAUGAAUGAAAAUACAAUAAAACUACAACUCGUUGACACCGUUAGGAUUCAACGUCUUUACUUAUGUAAAUACAAUAAAUAUUAAAAUAAAGAUAUAGAAUUGUUAAUCAUCGGUGUUUUCGUCUCAUGGAUCCACCGAAAGUGGUGCCUCGGGGUCGCCCGAGAAAAUAGUGGAAUUCCGACCCUUUUUCUUAACAGGGCCUCUCGGCAGCGAGCUAUAGCCGUGUGAGUUCAUAAAGAGGGUAUCGGCACUUUGACAACAAGAGAGCCAUUUUGCCAGGGCAACGGCGAAUAAACUGAGUAUGAAAUUUAGGCUCUUUUAUGAAUGUAGUUUUGUGGUUUUAUUUAAUUUUGCCUCAUUAUUAUUAUUAUUAUUAUUAUUAUUAUUAUUAUUACACUCAAAGGUGUAUCAUUGGUAUUCUGAGAAGAGAUCACCCUGCCCGAUGUUUCUGCGUAAUACUAUUACAUUUCUGUUUUGCAAAUGAUAGGCCUAUCCGUUGCUUUUUGCACCAUUGUAAUUGGGUCUGAGUUGUUUGCCAUAGUUAUGUAGUCGUGUGCUUUAAUAACAAGCAUGUUUUGUAGUGGGACAGCUUGAUCUUUUAGGCUACUCCACGGUUAAAUGCAAUGAACGCAACUUAUUUUAAUGCAACUGUGUCGACCUUCGGUAUGCACCUAUUGUACGUCGUUUUGGAAAGCGUCUGCCAAAUAAAAAAUAAUGUAUGAAUUCAUUCAUAGUCUACAGUUAUUAUUUCAUGUUUUUUUCAUUCGUUGUUGUUGUUACU
This is a long non-coding RNA of Anguilla anguilla (European eel), 3235 nucleotides long. RefSeq lists it as uncharacterized. The record is from RefSeq and is a predicted model, not a curated record. The transcript is spliced from 4 exons. Lineage: Eukaryota; Metazoa; Chordata; Actinopteri; Anguilliformes; Anguillidae.